UUGUGGAGUGGAUCUGACAAGUGUUCAAUGAGGUUCUGCACAGGGCCCUUGCCGGUUACAGCUGCCUGGACGUAGAAUCCAAUCCAGGCAACCAUUGCCAGGCGACCGUUCUUGAUCUCCUUCACCUUGAGUUCUUCAAACGCAACAGGGUCUUUGGA
Non-coding RNA from Lolium perenne, 158 nucleotides. The record is from RefSeq and is a predicted model, not a curated record. Lineage: Eukaryota; Viridiplantae; Streptophyta; Magnoliopsida; Poales; Poaceae.